CACUGCUGUAUUGCACAUACACAUACGCACACGUAUACAGACGGGCACACAUACGUGCAUAUAUAUAUACAUAUAUGCGCUUCUUAUGAUUGUGUGGCUGUUGCUGCUGUUCUCCCUCUCUCGACCUUCUCCUUCUUGUCGUCUGUACUGCUGUGUCGGUGUGCUGUUGGACGGGCCCGCAAAAUAGGCCGAGCAACGGAACUUGUCGGACCAUUGCAUCUGGAAGCGAAGCAGCAGGGGAGGGGGCACCGCCAAAGGCUAUGCGACCGGUUGUGCGACUCUCCCGCCUUCGCACGGUUGCUUCCGUCCUUAUUGACCCUCGCCAUCACCAAGGAUGAGCUUUCUCUUCAAGGCUGUAUUGGGGCAGCGCGUGGUGCACCCACCUCCUCCGGAGAGUGACAAAAAGUCGCACGUGGCGGCAAACGGGGUAUGCGACACCAAGUCGUCAGCGAUACUUGCCACGAAGCCGGCGAACGCAUCGUUGGUCAACAACGGAGCUCACGGCAAGAUCUCUGCACCAAAGCCGAGUGGUAACGCUGCGGCGUCACCUUCCUUGCGUGCCGGGCCAUCCGUCACCGCAUCCGCGUCCUUGGCGGGGCCGCAGUCAACGCUUUUCUCAUCCUCGCCGUCGCCGCCGCCGCGGCCCAGCACACCAACGCGGACGCUGCUUCUGCGCAUUGAGGGCUGCACAGUGGCGCAGGAUAUCCGUGACGCGCAGCGCGACCUGCUGCGCUGCCCUGACCUCCCAUACGCGCUAGAUGCAACGUCGCUGAAGUCGCUGCUCGAUUUGCUUGCCAGUUACGCCGAUGAGGAGUCGAUUACGGAGCCGACGCUGCAUCUUCUCGCCAACGCCACGGACUUGGACUUGUACCCUGACGAACUGGAGUCGAACCGUCGUGUCGUCAAAGUCAACGCGGCGGCCAAGCGGCAAGCGAGGGAUGCGCUGCUCCAGCCGCUCUUCGAUGCGGUGCCACUGUUGCUAGACUCGAUGAAAACAACAGCGCCAUUUUGGAGCCGCUACUAUGUCGUCGUCCUGCUUCAGCGGCUGGAGGAGUUGGAGCCGUAUAAGCUUAAUCAGUCCCUGCUUGGCGCCCGCGGCAUCGGCGUUUUGCUCGACGCGUUGAACGAGGAUGAGCACGAUUUCCUGCUGCGUAAUCAGGCUUUGGUGCUUCUCACAUCGCUGACCUUGGCCGAUGCGGAGCUUCAGACCCUUCUGGCCUUCCACAACGCCUUCGACUCGCUCUUUGAUGUGAUCCAGCGUGAGGGCGGUGUACGGCAUGGCAGAUCCAUUGUGCAGGACUGUCUGACGGUGGUGCACAACAUACUCCGCUCGAACAAGGCAACCCAGAAGUUCUUUCGCGAAAUGGGCUGUGCUGCACGGCUGGCGGCCCUGUUCGACUCCGUCCCAUCUGAGCUGGCGGCAUGCACGCUCGUGGAUGAGAGCCGCAGCGGCGGCGACGGCAGCUCUGCAGGCUCCGUAUUUCCCCAAACGAGAGUGUUGACCGAGAAGCUGGAGGCACUCCUCGACGUUACUAGGACUUCCGAGUCGAUGCUAAACUUGCUCAUGUCCGUUUCCAUUCUCGCAUGCGUCCUGCGCGGCGUCGACGAGGGCGAGGAAGAGCGACACUCCACGCAAGACGCCCUCCUUCGAUGCGGUCUUCUGACUUCGCUCGCUCGCCUCGCGUUCAGCGGGCUGCUCAUCGACGACGCCACCCGAAUCGAAGCAGUGCGGGUGCUGGCGUUGCUGCUGAGAGACUCCCGGCGAGCGGUGGAAGAAUGGCUGAACCUCCCGCCGGUCACAACUCUCGUCCGAGCCACUCUGCCUUACACAGUGCAGGUGUGGCCGGCUCCGCGCGCGCUGCUCGCAUACGUUUGCGAGACAACUGACACAACGCUCGUCAGUGCUGGCGUGCAGCUCUUCACGGCGGUGCUGAGCGUGCCUGCCUGCCAAGAGCGCUCGGUUGGCGUGCUUCUGAGCGGGUUGGUGUCGCCGCCUCUGGAGCGUGGUUAUGGCCACGGCGGCCAUGAAGCAGUACAGACGUGGGCUAACACGACGUCACUCCCCAGCAGUCUCAGUGCGGGCAACGCCAGCGCCGCCAAUACGGAUGCGCAGUGUGGCGCGGCGCUUGCGCGGGUGCUGCUCUCGUCGCGAACGUCAGCUGUAGAGAAGUUCUACACCGCCCAGGUGCUGCGCGCGCUGGUUGCGGUGCCUGGCGCCACUCCAGUGCUCCAGGACCUCGUGAACGCACCGGUGCCGCCGCACCUGCAGACGUCGACGCUGGACGGUCUUGUCAAGGCGCAGCCGGGAUGGACGCUGUCCUCCCGCCUGCCGCCCUCCUUCUUUAACUACACCGUCACCUUCGUGCUUUUGUGCCUCGGCGGCGGUGCGGCUGCACAGCAGGUGAACACGGCGGCUCUCGGUGCCUAUGUUGGGGCGCUGCUAGAGUGGAUGGGCUCUUCUCCCGUGGCGGCUGCCGCGUUUGUCGAGGAAGUGUCAUGGGGUGAGACGCUGCUUCACCAGGCCCGCCGCGACGGCGCCGCCCAUCUUCGGUUGUGGUCAGCGGUGCUAGUCGCUAGUGCCUGUGUCGUGUCAACGACAGCGACGACCGCCGCUGCCGCCCCACCCACAGCCGCGGCGGCCGCAACAGCUCUCACGCGCCGGUUUCUGCAGAUGGUGGGUGGAGGGGCGGCUCUUGACACGAUCCUCUUUGACCUGAAAGCCAGCACGCCGGUGUGGCAACACCCUGUGGCGAGCGGGCUGCGAACACAGAAUCCCACCCCGUACGAUGAGGCUAUUGUGGGUCUGGUGGAGCAGCUUGUGGCGAACUUCAAGCAGCUCUUGGACAGCGUUGCGGGGUCUGCGUCGCAGAUGGCACGUGCGACGAUGACGCUGCGGCCGUCCAUACACUCUGCACAGCAGCAGCCCGAUGAUGCGCAGACGGAAUACCGAGUAGCGUCAGAGCCGGUUGCAUCGCCGCCGCCGCCGAGGGAGGCGGGUCCGUUGGCAUCGAUGCAGCCGCCACCUUCUAGCCCAGCCGUUGCGUCGCUGGGAAGCUUGGGGCACAGCAGUAUGCCGUCUGGCGACUUCCGGGCUGAGCCUUCUCUACCACAGCCUCUGGCUGCCCCACUGAACCCGGUAGGGGCCCCUCUUGUGGCAGACGCGCACGCGCGCGACAUGGUGGCUGCGCUGCAAGCGGAGCUCGAGGCCACCCGUACGGAGAAGGUGAACCUCACGAACGCACUGGCAGAGUGGCGCGAACGGGCUGAGCAGACCGCUGCACAGUGCGCUGCCCUGGAGGAGGAGCAGCAGAGGCGUGCCGCCGCGGCCGCGGAAGAAGAGCGCAUUCGACUGGAGGAUGCGGCUACGUCGACAGCGGAGGCCGCGCACUCGCACGCCUUAUCGGCUGAGGUGGUCGAAGAACUUCGCGAGAACAUUCGGCUGCUCGAAGAGGCACUGAGCUCGAAGGAAGAGGAGCAUCAGCAACUGGUGGAGUCGCUGAACAUGAUGGAAGAGCAGCUGCGGCACGUUUCAAAUGCCACAGCGGCCGCUGCCUCCCAGCAGCGACAACAUCAGCAAGAGCAGCAGCAUCUUCCACCACCGGAUGUGAUUGCUGCGAUGAAGGCGGAGCGCAAUGCGGUGGUCGAGCAGCUUGCGCUAUCACAACAGGAGACUGCACGACUGCAGCAUGCUCUGCAAGGCGUCAGUAGCGACUACAGCGAAUUGCUGCUCCUCGUAGCCGAGCUCAACGAGGAGUGCGUGUCGGCGAAGGCAGGCUCGUCCAUAGCAGACACGCCGGCACGGCCGUGGCCGGAGGAUGCCGGGCUCAGUCUGAAAAGGGUGGUUGAGGCGCCUCCAGAGCCGGCCGUCUACGACGGUGCCAUGAGGGACGAAACCAUCUUCACUAGUGCGGAGGUGCUAUCUGGAACGGCUGCUACACAGCAGCCUGUGCAGUGGGAGGGCACGAUGGAUACUGCGGCAACUGGCAUGCUCAAAGUGCCAGGGCAAGAACCGGUGCCCACCACACCGGCGUCGGCCCCGGUCUUGGCUAUCGGGAGACAGACGAGUGUGGAUGCAAACGGCAGGCCUGGUGGGCCCAUGGACGCCUAUGAAGAGGCGACGGAUGUCACGAUUCACCCUUCGGACGCGAGAGCUCCUGCGCAAGCUUUCGCGGCCCCCCUACCGGUCCAGCAGUCGAUUCCGCUGUCGGUAGCGCCAGCCAAUGCAUUUCCGAUUUCCAGCCUAGCUGUAUCGCAGACGGAAGCAACACCGCCUUCGCUUGCCCCUCCGUCGCGACCCGACGGACAGCAACAGCAACAUGCAGACCGGCCGCCGCCCCCUCCAGCAAGCCAUACCCCUCCUCCAUUGCCACCGCCACCGCCACCGCCCACAAUGGCGCACACCCACCCCUUUCAGCGGUCUGGGCUGCAAGCCCCUCGCUACCCUGACCCGCCCACCAUCUUCUUCGUUGGUGGAGACGGCGCUCCUGUAGCGGCGCAGCCGCCCCAACAUUCCGUCUCCAGCGCUGGUGGCGAGCAGCGCUCGCGCGACGGAAGACCACCGCCGCCACCCAAAGAUCUGCCGCCGCCGGCCGCGUUGUGUUCGCCUCAGCUAAGUGCGCUGUCGCAUCGCUUUUCAGCACCGAGGGUUCAGUCUGCUUUCCUUGCCAAGGACUCACCGCGGAAUUCUGACCCCGUGGUGAGGCAGCAGAAAGACGGACUGGUGGACGGUACAGUGCAUGACUCUGCGAGAGUGGUGCCGCCGUGGGCCUCUCAAAGUAUGCAGGAGGCAUCAGUGACCGACAACAUGUCGGCGUCCAGGUAUAAUACCCCCAACAUUUCAGCUACGCACCAUUCUGCGCAACUGUGUGCAGAGGGCGCACCGGCUGCUGCUGUGUUCACCACCUCCGGCGCUGCUCUUCAGAAUCCUUUCUUGGCCGGCGCUGGAAGUCCCGAGAAUGACCCAUUCGCGAUGGUGGGUGGCGACGACACGCUUCUCGGAAGCGGCGGAGAGCUGGAGAUGGGAGGAGGGGGAGCCAGGGACCGUGGUGCAGCUCGCUGGACCACGAGGGAGCCGUGCUUAUCGACAAACGCACCACCGAAGCCACAAACUGCCGCGGCGCCGAGCAACAGCGCAGGGAGCACAAGCGAGGCAUCUCCUCGUGGUGUAGCUGAGACCGAGUCUCUCGAGGCGAACAACCCAAGCAGUACUCCUACAACGGCCUACAACCCGUUUACGGACGUCAACACCAGCGGCGAUGAAGCAGACGACGAUUUCGGUGGCCUGCGCUAAUGGCUUCGAGAAAAGGACGUAGUCUCGGCGAGGGGGUCUUUCUCUCUCUGGUCUGUCUGUAUCGUCCUCGGCGGACCCUGCGAAUGCCCAUCGUACGAGUCGAGAGGAGCGGCUCGUGAUGUUUCGAGGACUGCAUACGCAGAUCCGUUUUCUAGCGAUGCAUUUGCGCGUCAUGGGCUGCCUUUUUUUUUUUCGCGCGCGUGUGUCUGUGCGGGUGGGUGGGUGGAGGCGUGCGUGCUGUCCACUUUUGUUGUGGUCGUGUUUGUGUGUAAGUCACUCUCGGAAGAGAGCAGCCAGUAGUAAACAUGUCGCGAUUUCCCGCUGCCUUGUGGGGCGCUACUGUCUCUGUCUGGUACUUUGUCGAGCUUGUUGUUUGACGUUGCUGACGCCGUAGAUUCAUGGCGGGCGUGCUACUUCUACUUGACAAGCUCCCACUGUCAUUCAUCACUGCGCUUCCACUGCCUUUCUCAUUUCCCGUGUGUUCCUACACCCCCUCCCCUGCCCUUUUUUUUGUUGUUCCCCUACUUCUGUAAUGUUUCAUCUACGCACAGCUGUGUGCGUUUCACAGCCAUUGGUCUGAGCCCGUUUUUUGGUGUAGAGCACACACAGAGG
RNAcentral lists this unclassified non-coding RNA (5902 nucleotides) under Leishmania donovani. RNAcentral describes it as "gene:LdHU3.35.3280(CDS-product:hypothetical_prote in_conserved)". Lineage: Eukaryota; Euglenozoa; Kinetoplastea; Trypanosomatida; Trypanosomatidae. The record is from RNAcentral.